This is a long non-coding RNA of Habropoda laboriosa, 417 nucleotides long. RefSeq lists it as uncharacterized. The transcript has 3 exons. The record is from RefSeq and is a predicted model, not a curated record. Lineage: Eukaryota; Metazoa; Arthropoda; Insecta; Hymenoptera; Apidae.
GGCAUGUACUGACUGAUUCUCUAGACGGCUCUAUCAUCGUGUGGUGCGAUUUUUGCGGAAGUGCAUCUGUUUCGUCGUGCAGUGGUUUCAGCAACGAAGAUGUCAUCGUACAAGAAAAAUACAUCAGCAGUGGAUGGUUGCAAAAAUGGAGAAAUCAAUUUGGUAUUCGACAACUUACGAUGUGUGGAGAAAAGUGAUCGCCAGACAGCAACGCUACACAAUUCAUACAGGAUAUACAAACACAGAAAAUCCGUUCUUUUUAGAGCCAUCGUGAUGUACAUAGUCCACGAUAUACCGAGCAACCUCCCCGCGGUGUAUAUCGGAUAGCGCUAACGCCGGCGGCAUAUAAAACCUGGAAGCUGAUAUCUGAAUAACAAUUUACGUAAAAACCACAAGUAUGCAGUCUUUUGAGAACGU